Molecule: ribosomal RNA, 465 nt
Filed under: uncultured Geobacillus sp.
Lineage: Bacteria; Bacillati; Bacillota; Bacilli; Caryophanales; Anoxybacillaceae
Description: bacterial SSU rRNA
Rfam family: Bacterial small subunit ribosomal RNA
Source: RNAcentral
CCCGCACAAGCGGUGGAGCAUGUGGUUUAAUUCGACGCAACGCGAAGAACCUUACCAGGGCUUGACAUCCCCUGACCGCGUAUGAAAGUACGUUUUCACCCUCGGGUGACAGGGAGACAGGUGGUGCAUGGUUGUCGUCAGCUCGUGUCGUGAGAUGUUGGGUUAAGUCCCGCAACGAGCGCAACCCUUACCUUUAGUUGCCAGCGGGUAAUGCCGGGCACUCUAGAGGGACUGCCGGGGAUGACCCGGAGGAAGGUGGGGAUGACGUCAAAUCAUCAUGCCCCUUAUGACCUGGGCUACACACGUGCUACAAUGGGCGGUACAAAGGGUCGCGAACCCGCGAGGGGGAGCCAAUCCCAAAAAGCCGCUCUCAGUUCGGAUUGCAGGCUGCAACUCGCCUGCAUGAAGCCGGAAUCGCUAGUAAUCGCGGAUCAGCAUGCCGCGGUGAAUACGUUCCCGGGCCUU